This 655-nucleotide long non-coding RNA is filed under the name Nicotiana benthamiana. RNAcentral describes it as "long non-coding RNA (NBEN_LNC006989)". Lineage: Eukaryota; Viridiplantae; Streptophyta; Magnoliopsida; Solanales; Solanaceae. The record is from RNAcentral.
UUUCCCCAUCCUAUUAAAUUUUCCGAUGGGGAAGAGAAACAAUCUUUGCUUGAGUAUCAAGGAGUUCCAGUUUAUCAAUCUAUGGAAAAUACCCAAGGAAGUAACCAGUUUAUUCUCCUGGUUACUUCGAUUCACCUGGAAAAUACCCAAGGAAAUAUGUCGUUUGAGAUGGUUGGUGUCUGGUUUGAACACGUUCUACUGACGGAUCUAAGAAGUACGAUUUCGUCGUGCAAAUGACGGCAACGUUGUGACAUUGAAGACGAAGAUUGUGAAGAUUACGAGAACUCUAAUUGAUGAACAGCCGGCUACCGGUGAACGGAGAGUUCGCCGGAAAUUAGGGUUUGUUCUUGAGCAUAGACGAUGGAGUUUUGGGCUGAGCAAUUUGAUUUUUUAUUAAUAUAUUUCAAUGUAUUUUCAAUAUAUUUUCAAUGUAUUUUCAUGUAUUUCAUUAUAUUCGUUGUCUUUUUUUUUCCCAUUGUAAUUCAAUGUAUUUCAUUGUAUUCCAUGUCUUUUAUUGUAUUCACUGUUAUUUUCUUAUUGUAUUUCAAUGUAUCCCGCUAUAUUCUAUGUAUUUCAUUGUAUUCACUGUCUCGCUAAAUGCCAUAAAUGUAUUCAUAAGUUUUAUUUAAUUAAUAUAAUUUAUAUAUUAAGAUGU